Molecule: ribosomal RNA, 779 nt
Filed under: uncultured Neocallimastigales
Lineage: Eukaryota; Fungi; Neocallimastigomycota; Neocallimastigomycetes; Neocallimastigales
Description: partial large subunit ribosomal RNA
Rfam family: Eukaryotic large subunit ribosomal RNA
Source: RNAcentral
UAUCUCUGUAGAGUCUGCAUAUCAAUAAGCGGAGGAAAAGAAACUAACUAGGAUUCCCUCAGUAACGGCGAGUGAAGCGGGAAGAGCUCAAAUUUGAAAUCUUCAAGGUUCUACCUUGACGAAUUGUAGUUUAAAGAAGUGUUUUCUGUUGGAUGUUUUGGUAAAAGUUCUUUGGAAUAGGACAUCAUAGAGGGUGAGAAUCCCGUAUUUGACCAUUAUCUUCCAGCGUUGUGAUACACUUUCAAAGAGUCGGAUUGUUUGGGAAUGCAGUCCAAAAUGGGUGGUAAAUUUCAUCUAAAGCUAAAAUAUUGGCGAGAGACCGAUAGCGAACAAGUACCGUGAGGGGAAAGAUGAAAAGAACUUUGAAAAGAGAGUUAAACAGUACGUGAAAUUGUCAAAAGGGAAGCGUUUGACACCAGUGUUGUUUUCUCGAAAAUCAAUUAAAAAAAGGCAGGAUUUUGUGUUGUAUUGACUUUAUCAGCUUUCUGCACUCUUUUCUUGUCUUUUUUAAUGCACUUUUCGUUUAACAAGUCAACAUCAAUUUCUUUUGUUGUAAAAGGGUCAUUGGAAGGUGGCUUUCUUUUCGGAGAAAGUGUUUAUAGCCUUUGGCCUCUGCAAUCGGAGAGAUUGAGGUCUGCAGCGUAGAUCCUUCGGGGUUAGAUACAUUUGUGCUAAGUUAUAGCCUUUCAUAGACAACUUGUUGACUAUGAUCAGUCAUGUAGCUUACUCGCUUAUGCUAUUUUACCUACGCUUAGGAUGUUGACGAUCAGCUGAGCGCG